ACGAAGGGGGCUAGCGUUGCUCGGAAUGACUGGGCGUAAAGGGCGCGUAGGCGGUCUGACAAGUGGAAGGUGAAAUCCCCGGGCUCAACCUGGGAACUGCCUUCCAAACUGUUUGACUUGAGUCCGGGAGAGGUGAGUGGAAUUCCCAGUGUAGCGGUGAAAUGCGUAGAUAUUGGGAGGAACACCAGUGGCGAAGGCGGCUCACUGGACCGGAACUGACGCUGAGGCGCGAAAGCGUGGGGAGCAAACAGGA
This 253-nucleotide ribosomal RNA is filed under the name uncultured prokaryote. RNAcentral describes it as "partial 16S ribosomal RNA". It matches the Rfam family "Bacterial small subunit ribosomal RNA", at positions 525 to 777 of the family's 1533-position model. The record is from RNAcentral.